Nicotiana tabacum (common tobacco) is the source of this 900-nucleotide long non-coding RNA. RefSeq lists it as uncharacterized. The record is from RefSeq and is a predicted model, not a curated record. NCBI's taxonomy places the organism in Eukaryota, Viridiplantae, Streptophyta, Magnoliopsida, Solanales, Solanaceae.
AAAGGGACAUCUGUCCCGAUAUUGUUGAGAUAAGAUGUUGAAUUUAGAUACGGCUGUCCAUUUUCUGGUACAAAAAGAUGUCAUUCCCCUGAAUUUAUGGAAGGAGGGUAGAUUCUUUUUGUACCUUAUCUCAUUCUCUAAUAAGGCUCUCAUAUAUUCUAUAUAAGAGAGGAAUUCUCUGCAGAAAAAGACACACGAAAAAGCACCCUGAAGUCAGAAUUACUCCUUGCAUUUCCUCACUAAUUCUACAUUGAUUUUUGAGAGUCCAUUGUCUUCAUUUUCAUUUUUAGUAAAGAAAAUUUCUGGAAAACCAACUUUGACAUUUCAGAAACAACAAAAAAAAACCAAUUGUUUUCAUUAGCUUGCUUCAUCAUUGGAUAGCUAUUUCUUUUCAAGUUCUGGGUUUGAAGUUUCGUGGGGCUUCAUUUUUGUUGUUUGAUACUGUUUGAUUAAGCUGAAGCUGACUCUAUUUAGCUGCAUUUCUCCAAGUCAUAAUCUUAUUUUCUUGUUGUUUUUACUGCUGUCAAGUGCCAUAAUUUGAAGACUUGACCAUAAUUGGCCAAAUCUGUAAACAUUGAGGCCGAAAUAACGUCCAAGAGCAUCGUUGGAGAUUCAGGCGCAAUCUGAAAGCUAAUGGUCUCGUGAAGGAUCUAUAUUUAUUAGGCUGCAGUUAGGAACAACUUUUAUUUAAUUGUAUUAUGAAAUGAUAAAUGUGAGAGUCAUAGUUAUACUAGCCUGUUUAUGCAGCUUAUUUGGAGUUUGAAUGUAAAUAAUGGUACAUUGUAAUGUUAGUUAUAACUUUCUUCUUUCACUUGAUAGACAGAUUUUGGGGUUUAACAUGAGUACUUGUAUAGCUUUUCAAUGAAGUUAUAGCUGCAAUUAUUAGAAUAAUUAGCCAGA